This 1809-nucleotide ribosomal RNA is filed under the name human gut metagenome. RNAcentral describes it as "bacterial LSU rRNA". It matches the Rfam family "Bacterial large subunit ribosomal RNA", at positions 501 to 2305 of the family's 2925-position model. The record is from RNAcentral.
CCGUGAGGGAAAGGCGAAAAGAACCCCUGUAAGGGGAGUGAAAAAGAAUCUGAAACCGUGUGCGUACAAGCAGUGGGAGCCCGAAAGGGUGACUGCGUACCUUUUGUAUAAUGGGUCAGCGAGUUAUCUGUAUUAGCGAGGUUAACUUUGAUGAGGGAGCCGUAGGGAAACCGAGUCUUAAUAGGGCGAGAAGUUGAUGCAGGUAGACCCGAAACCGAGUGAUCUAGUCCUGGACAGGCUGAAAGCAGGGUAACACCUGCCGGAGGGCCGAACCUACUGUCGUUGCAAAGCCAGAGGAUGAUCUGGGACUAGGGGUGAAAGGCCAAUCAAACCCGGUGAUAGCUGGUUCUCCCCGAAAGCUAUUUAGGUAGCGUCCUGCAGGGGCGUAUGGGGGUAGAGCACUGUUAUAGGAAGGGGUUCAUUGCGAACUACCGACCUAUUGCAAACUACGAAUACCAUACAGUUGUAAGCAGGGGACACACAGUGGGUGCUAACGUUCAUUGUGAAGAGGGAAACAACCCGGACCGCCAGCUAAGGUCCCAAAGUUCUGAUUAAGUGGGAAACGAUGUGGGAAGGCAUAGACAGCCAGGAUGUUGGCUUAGAAGCAGCCAUCAUUUAAAGAAAGCGUAAUAGCUCACUGGUCGAGUCGGCCUGCGCGGAAGAUGUAACGGGGCUCAAAUCAGACACCGAAGCUGCGGAUUUGUACUUAGGUACAAGUGGUAGGGGAGCGUUGUGUAAGCCUGAGAAGAUGUACUGGAAGGUAUGUUGGAGGUAUCACAAGUGCGAAUGCUGACGCAAGUAACGAUAAAACGAGUUAAAUGCUCGUUCGCCGGAAGACCAAGGUUUCCUGUCCAACGUUAAACGGGGCAGGGUUAGUCGGAACCUAAGGCGAGGAUGAAAAUCGUAGUCGAAGGGAAACGGGUUAAUAUUCCCGUACUUGGAUAUGUUGCGAUGAGGUGACGGAGGAGGUAAGGUUAGCCAGCCGAUGGUUGUGCUGGUGAAAGGCAGUAGGUAGUAAGAAGGGUUAAAAGACUUUUUACGAUAAUCUGAGAGCCGAGACGAAUUAACUACGGUUAAGAAGUAACCCUAUCCAGACUUCCAGGAAAAGCCUCUAAGCUACAGACAUAUACAAUCCGUACCCCAAACCGACACAGGUGGUCGGGUAGAAGAUACCAAGGCGCUUGGGAGAACCCGGGUGAAGGAACUAGGCAAAAUUGUACCGUAACUUCGGGAGAAGGUACGCUGUGGUUUGUAAUAAGAUUAACUCUUAGAGCGAACUGCAGCCGCAGAUAAAUGGUGGCUGGGACUGUUUAACAAAAACAUAGCACUCUGCAAACCUGAAAGGGGAAGUAUAGGGUGUGACACCUGCCCGGUGCCGGAAGGUUAAAUGAUGAGGUUAGAGCAAUCGAAGCCUCUGAGUGAAGCCCCGGUAAACGGCGGCCGUAACUAUAACGGUCCUAAGGUAGCGAAAUUCCUUGUCGGGCAAGUUCCGACCUGCACGAAUGGUGUAACCAUGGCCACGCUGUCUCCACCCGGGACCCAGUGAAACCGAAAUCGCUGUGAAGAUGCAGUGUACCCGCGGCUAGACGGAAAGACCCCGUGAACCUUUACUGCAGCUUGACACUGAACCUUGAACCUGUUUGUGCAGGAUAGGCGGGAGACUUUGAAGUAGAGACGCCAGUCUUUAUGGAGUCGACCUUGAAAUACCGCCCUGAUAUGUUUGAGGUUCUAACUUGAAGGUAACAGCCUUAAGGACAGUGUCUGGUGGGAAGUUUGACUGGGGCGGUCUCCUCCCAAAGAGUAACGGAG